AUGCAUUCCUGCUCUGCACCACAUGAGUCUCUGCUCCAGGCUCUUGUCCUUGGGGUGGGCAGAGGCUUUGCUGAAUCCAUGGACUCCUGGUUGUCCACAGCAUCAGGCUCAAGACAGACCCAGCUGGGUCCUGGCACCAGAGCAACCGUGACAGGUUGACAAGAUCCUGACAACCUUGCUCCAUUUGAGCCAUCUCCAGCUGCUGAUUCGUCAUUUGCCUUCUCAAAACCAUCUCCUGAUAUGGAAACAGCUCAUCACUGCCUGUAACCAGCAGGAACACCAGAUCCUGCAGCAUCUGUUUUGGACAUCAAGAUGGGAGACCCCAAAAUCCUCAGCACAAGAGAAAGAGGUACAGAGAGAGAAUGGAGCAAGGCAGGUCCCAGAGCCCUGGUUGUGCUGCCUGGUGUGUCCCAGCAGUGUCAGCUGCCUUGGAGCAGCACCUCAGCUACUUCUCCUGCUCUCUGAAGACUUGUGUGAAAUGACCAAGAUACAAAGGGCCAGGGCUGCUCCUGGAAGAGGAAAAGCCUAUUGGUGUUGCCUGAAUGAAGGGGCUGAGUGUCUGCAUUCACAUCCUGGGAAAGCAGUUGAGAUUGAUCCUGGUUUGGUCACCCACUGAUGAGCUAAUUUUAACACCAACCAUGUGAGUAUAAAAAGGAUUAACCCUAAGUUUUAGAGCUUUGAUGACAUAAAAAAACAUGGUCA
RNAcentral lists this long non-coding RNA (702 nucleotides) under Junco hyemalis (dark-eyed junco). RNAcentral describes it as "lncRNA (ENSJHYG00000011661.1)". The record is from RNAcentral. Lineage: Eukaryota; Metazoa; Chordata; Aves; Passeriformes; Passerellidae.